UACGUAGGGGGCAAGCGUUGUCCGGAUUUAUUGGGCGUAAAGAGCGUGUAGGCGGCCUGAAAGGUCAGCUGUGAAAACUCGAGGCUCAACCUCGAGACGUCGGUUGAAACCAUCUGGCUAGAGUCCGGAAGAGGAGUGUGGAAUUCCCGGUGUAGCGGUGAAAUGCGCAGAUAUCGGGAAGAACACCCGUGGCGAAGGCGGCACUCUGGGACGGUACUGACGCUGAGACACGAAAGCGUGGGGAGCGAACAGG
RNAcentral lists this ribosomal RNA (253 nucleotides) under uncultured bacterium. RNAcentral's name for it is "partial 16S ribosomal RNA". It matches the Rfam family "Bacterial small subunit ribosomal RNA", at positions 524 to 776 of the family's 1533-position model. The record is from RNAcentral.